This is a long non-coding RNA of Triticum urartu, 3097 nucleotides long. RefSeq lists it as uncharacterized. The record is from RefSeq and is a predicted model, not a curated record. Lineage: Eukaryota; Viridiplantae; Streptophyta; Magnoliopsida; Poales; Poaceae.
GUCUGCUGCUGCUUUCCUGUAUAUGAUUUUUUAGUCUGACUGUUAGACUAUGAUCCAUGCUCUUAAGGGAAGGGAUUAAUAUGCUGCUGAACUGGGGGUCCUCUGCCGCGAAGAAGGUUUGGUGUUGGGGCUGAUGUUCCCCUUAGAGUCUGGGCAUUUCAAGCCCCUUACAUUGUUUCAAUUUUGAUGAGAAGCGAUUUACCUGUGCACAAGUUUCAUUGAAAUAUUUUUUUUCGUUCAAAAAAAAAAACUUGCUGCAUUAAUUUGUUUUAUCUGCUGAGCAGGUGACGGCGCAUGGGGACGAGCUUCCUGGACAAGAAGAUCUGUGUAUUCUUCUUGAUGGUGCAAAGUUGAGGUGUUCUCAAAUCUCAAUGAACUAUUUUAUUUUACUAUUGACACUUGAAUGCUCUCUUUUUUCUGAUUAGUUUUUUUCUUUAUUCUUAUGUUCUUUACUGCCGAUUUCAACUUUUCAAGGAUUUAUUAGUUAAUAAAAGUUCAAGGAUUGUUGGAGAACAUGGAGCCUUGGGUAGCUGAAGUAGAUCCUUCCUUAAGGGCCAGAUGCCUUCUGGUUCAUACGAAAAUCAUGAAGCAAAACAGUAGAAGAAUAUAAGGUGUUUAACACAAUGGCAGUCAAAUUUUUAAGGCAUGAAGACUGCGGCAAUGCGAUGGCUAUGCUGAUUAAGUCUAAUAAGUGGGCUGGCCAUCACAAAGUCAUGUUUAACUAUCAAUAUGUGAACACAACAUGUGAUUAUAUGGAGUUUGUGAGGAAAAAUGAUAAGUUAAGAAGCUAGCUGGGUGAUUGUCCACUGGCGUUUUUUUGGAUAAGAAUUGUCCACUGACGUUUGCAUGGUAUGUAAACUGCCUGCAUCUUUUACUGACAGAUCACUAAUGUGAACAUUUUAUGCAUUGAAUAUUACUGAGCAUCAUCUUCUGACUGAUAUGGACAAUCUCUUGCAUUAUCUUGAGGCGACUGGGCAUAUAUGGACUUAGCCUAGAAGCGGGACCUACAGGCUUCCAUAAUUCCAGAGAGGUAAUUACCCGCCGUCUCAACUAUAUUCCAGAGAGGUAAUUGCCCUGGAUUUUCUCUUUAAUUAUACCAUAUUGUUUAAAUUUUGUAGCUGUCAUUUGUGCAUGAAUUGGUUACAUGUCUGCAAAGCUAACCAAAUAAGAAUGAGAUGAAUUGCAUGUCUGCAAAACUAACCAAAUAUGAAUGAGAUGAAUUUCCUCUUUGCACAAUCCACAUAGUACAUAUUAUAUGCAAAAGAAAUAUGUUUAUACAGGACAUUUUCUCUCUCAGGGUUAUACGUGCGUUGCACGUCCACGCCCACAUCCUCGACGGGUAGAAAAUUAGCGCAAGGAUCAAAUCCCCGACCUGUUUUUCUUUCUUUCGGUCUUUGUCCUAAACUGAAUCCUAUCUUGUUCGCUGCAACAGCAAGAUCUAGCUACCGUUGGGGAUAUAGAGGACCAGGAUGGACAACACGUUGCCAUUGAGUUUGCCGAGCUCGCCAGGACAGACCAUGAGCUGGUGACCUCCGCGGCCGAGGGCACCAUCUAUCUCCAGAGCCCCAUUGAUGUCAUGACCCUCGCCGCUUCCACCGCCACCACCAUAUAGGAGCGGUGUCACCCUUCGAGCAGAGCUAAAAAGAGUGAUACUAUUCUUUGGUCAGGUUAUGCUGCAGAUUAUUAUUUAGAGGAAAAACAUUUAUGGAGCCCGAUGUCUUUUAUGUUUUUUUCCUGAAUUUGCAGCCGCUAAGUUUCUGAAGCUUGACCGACAUCUUUUUAAGCAAUAGUGGUAAUCACGAGUGGCCUGAUACCGAUAUGCACCUUGCAGCCGCUAUUGCUUUCUAUCUGAUUUCGCUCAAAUUGAGUAGUUUGGCGGUGGGUGUUGGGUAGUAGUUUUGAUCAAUUCAGGAUAUUUUGUGAAAUAAUCCUAUUGGAUUGCUCUCCAAUUUUAUGUUGUGGAUUAAAAAAUAAGUAGCAAUUGUUUACAAGUCCCCGCUAAAACAAGUAAACCUGCUGUUGUCAAAAUUUCAAACCAACUAAGCAAGCAGAGAGCAAUGAUUGCAUAGCAAUCAGGGCCUGCCUCGAUCGUUUGACAUAUGACAUGACAUAAACAUCAUUUACAAGUCCAAGAAAGCUCUACAAAAACCAGUUACCCAAACUUACCCUGAGUUUGUUAAUUAAUAGUUUAAUACUAGGAUUCUUAUGCAUGUCUACUGUUGUUUAGGAAGCUCAGGACAUGGUGGUUCCGUUUUGGACGAAAAAGAAAAAAUAGUACCAAUGUGUUAACCUAAUGCUUAGCUGAUUAACUGCAGAUCAAAAUUUAUUUAUCCCUGUUUGCGCAAUAUGUAAGUAUUCAUGGUUAUUGGUCAGUGACCUGGGCAUAUGUAAAUUUUAUGCAUUCUGAAUUUUUAGCCCUUACGUUCUUGUACGUUAUUCUUUAUUCAUGCAUAUAACUUACUUGUACUUCGAUUGCUCUACAUUUUUCUUUUUCAUCACAUAUUUGACACUUUGUAGAAUCUGUGUGUACCUCUAAAUCUCCAAAAUUGCAGAGGAUUGCUACAUUAUUUCAUUAGUCCAUUUUAGAGCAUGUCAAAUGGAGCAACUUAUUUAGUGGUAAAAUCUUCCCUCCAAAGUCUGCUGCUGGCCACGCUCCUUCGACAGUCGGUACAUAUUUUCUCUUGGGUAAUUUGCUUCACCUAAUCUUUAGUACCACUUCUAUCAUGUAUUGUGAUUCACCUUUAAUGUCAGUAUUUUGUGCAUGGCCCCUUGAGCUCAUGUCUUCUAUUGCGGUCUGCAAACUAUCAUUUUCGGUCAGCUCAUAUCACUCUAUCCAUGCUAUCAAUUUUUCUUGCUCACUAAAUGGUAGUCUGACCUUGACCUGUUUGUGUCAUCAAAGAAGGGAAUUUUCCUUUUUUUUUCUACUUUUCUCUUGUGUUUGUAAAAUAUAUUAUUUUUUGUUGUAUAUUAUAGAAGGAUUGGGCAUGGAGGUUUCAGAUCCGCAUGCGAGUGUUUGUGUAUAUAUUGUACCUCUAUAUAUCUUUCCAAAUUCCAACUUUUGGCAUUACCAUAUUUUUAAAGAAUGGUUGUUUAGUGA